ACCUGGUUGAUCCUGCCAGUAGUCAUAUGCUUGUCUCAAAGAUUAAGCCAUGCAUGUCUAAGUACACGCCCUAGCAAGGCGAAACCGCGAAUGGCUCAUUAAAUCAGUUAUGGUUCCUUAGAUCGUACACAUUUACUUGGAUAACUGUGGUAAUUCUAGAGCUAAUACAUGCAAUUGAGCCCUCGUCCCAUUUAGGGUGAGGGUGCUUUUAUAAGACCAAGACCAAACGGGGGCAACUCCGAUAGUCGUGGUGACUCUGAAUAACUAUGGCGGAUCGCACAGUCCUAGCACUGGUGACGCAUCUUUCAAGUGUCUGCCUUAUCAACUUUCGAUGGUAGGUUAUGCGCCUACCAUGGUUGUUACGGGUAACGGGGAAUCAGGGUUCGAUUCCGGAGAGGGAGCCUGAGAAACAGCUACCACAUCCAAGGAAGGCAGCAGGCGCGCAAAUUACCCACUCCCGGCACGGGGAGGUAGUGACGAAAAAUAACAAUACGGGACUCUAACGAGGCUCCGCAAUUGGAAUGAGUACACUCUAAACCUUUUAAUGAGGAUCUAUUGGAGGGCAAGUCUAGUGCCAGCAGCCGCGGUAACUCUAGCUCCAAUAGCGUAUAUUAAAGUUGUUGCGGUUAAAAAGCUCGUAGUUGGAUCUCAGUCGCGCUCCCUUCGAUGCGUUGCAAAGCGUCAAUCGUUGGGGCCGACAGCACGUUGGUGGGCCCGGUUGGCUUUUACCGGUUGAUCGGGUUCUCUGGCAAUUUUACUUUUAAAAAAUUAGGGUGCUCAAAGCAGGCUGGAAGGAAGUCUCUCAGCCCCCACAGUGCCUUAUCAUUUGAUCUUAGCCAAAAGGCUAAGAGAGGUAAUAGAGAGGGUCAAAUAAAUCUGGUUUUAGUUUAACUUAAAUUUAUAUACACGUAAGACGAUAAAACACCAUUUAUGGCAGAAAAAUGAUGCAUGCCAGUUAAUUUGUUUACAUUUUAAAUCAAGGAGAGAGACGUCUAUUGUGCUUUCAAAAUAAAAUCCCCACAAUUAUGAUAUGGUACAAUUUAGAUUAGAUACACAAGGUAACAAGAUCACAUCCAAAUUAAUAAACUGUUGGUGACAUUUUCUUCCUGAAGAAAGUAACAAUGGUGUUAGUGAAACAUCACUAACAGUCAUCUAAUGUGGCCUUGUUACCCUAUUUUAAUAUUGUCUAAAAAAAGUGUGUGGGGGAGAAUGUCAAAGAGGGCUACAGAAAGAGCUGUUCCUCCAUAUGGAUGAUCUUUCUUGAAUUGAAGAGAGCGGUGGAGGUGAUGACUUUUCAACCCAGACAAAAGGAGGAUUGUAUUGGGACAGAGUUGGCAGCUUGCCAUCACCUUCUUGUUCUUUCUUUUGGAAAUGGAAGCACAGAAUCCAUCUUUUUUAUGAACUUCUUGAAACUCCCCUAUUUUGAAACAGUUUGCAACUACUGCAUAGGACCGCUACCUGAAAAACAUAGAUACUCCUGGAAGUGGUUUUUCAUUGGAUGUUGGUUUUGGUUGGCUUGGUCAUUUUUGGUUUUUAAAAAGGUGGUUGCACAUUGGCUGGAUUGCUCAUGGCAUGUAUGAAUGUAUUGUAUUUCUAAUACAGUAUAUGGUUACGUUUUUAAAUAGAUAUAAAUCCCAGACCAUUCUAUUAGAGUAUCAAAUCAAUCUUUCUUGGGUCUACCUUCAUUCUCCGAGGUGUAUCCCUCUAGUAUGGUUAAUAGACAAUCUCUCAAUGAUCUUCAGAGUACACGUUCUUCAAGUUCCCUUUUUUUUUUAUUACUUCACUUAGAAUUCUAUACUCUACAUUAAAUCUUCUCCAGACUUCUUUGUCAUCCUGUCUGUCCAUUUGUCUUGAGGAUUGUACAAUCAAUAUCACACCUAAUAUCAAAAUGUUUAGUUUCCGAUCUAGUUCCCUGAUUAUUGUCCAAGCAUCACAUCCUAACAUAAACAUUGACCAAAGAAAAAAAAUUGAAGCAUCCUCUUCUUUGGUUCUGUAUUUAUGGUCUUCUUAAAAGCCUUUAUUUCUCUCUCUCCUAAAAAAAGAAUAUUGUAUACCUUCUGACAGGGACUUUUGCAUCUUCCAUCCUCAUUUGAUGGUAUGGUAGUCUUAUAUAUGUAUUUUAAUGGCAGCUCUCUCCUAAUAUGGGAAUUGAGACAUUGCAGAGAUGUUCUGG
Non-coding RNA from Cordylochernes scorpioides, 2173 nucleotides. Lineage: Eukaryota; Metazoa; Arthropoda; Arachnida; Pseudoscorpiones; Chernetidae. The record is from the annotation of a GenBank genome assembly.